This is a long non-coding RNA of Pogoniulus pusillus (Red-fronted tinkerbird), 1492 nucleotides long. RefSeq lists it as uncharacterized. Lineage: Eukaryota; Metazoa; Chordata; Aves; Piciformes; Lybiidae. The transcript is spliced from 4 exons. The record is from RefSeq and is a predicted model, not a curated record.
CGGCAGCAGCAGCAGCAGCAGCAGCAGGAGGAGGAGGAUAUUAACGUUGUCUUUCAUCCAUGUUGUUCACUUUUCCGGGGUGCUGAGAUGCUGCAGGGGCUGCUGAGGACGUGGACCAGGGUUUGGACUGCAACCAUGCGAGGAUGGAUGAUGCAAGUCACAAAAGCCUGCUGCAUGUUGCAGGAGAUGCUGUAUUAGAUCUCUCCCCUUCAGCCUCUUCCCCAUUUCCAGGCCAGCAAUGAUGUCGCUCUGGGCUGUUCUGCAUUGAUUAAACUCUGAUUUGUCUGGAAAGGCUCCAGCUGUUUUGGCUCCAAUAUGCCUGGAAUGGCCUUUGCCCACAGAGCAGUGUCGUGCUGGUGCAGUGGAGAUGGACUCCAGGAUCUUCACAAAGCUUGCUGUAGAGAAUUAAAAGGAAUCAGGAAAAGUCAUGCCAAGAUUCUGUCCAGAUACUACAUUCACAUGGGAGCUAACCAGGACUCACUCCUCGUCCUCACUGGACUUUCUGUAUGCUGUGUUAACUUAGUUCAUUGUGAUUAUUAAGAUGUAGAAGUAAAACCCAAGUGGUGCACGUCUUCCCUCCCGUGGUAACGUCCUGGUCCCACCAUUUUAGCCCUGGAAAUUCAAGUUAUUAAGACUUGGUUCCACAUCUAUGCCACUGUCAGUCAAGAGAAGUCCCAAUACUUCCCUUUGUGCUCCUGAAAAGCUGAGAUGCUUAACAGGCAGAGGAUGGCUUGAUGAAGUCUAGAUGCUUGAGGAUGCUUCUGAACCUAGGAUAUAGGGAGCUACUCAAGGGAUUUCAGGAAAGAAAGAAGUUCAACUGACAUGAGUUUAAUUCCUCAUGGUCUGAGGAGGAUGAGGAAAGAUCUUCAGCAGUAUAGUGACAGCUUUUUUGCUUUUUGUCUGCUUGCUGUAAUCUGUUACACACUACAGAAGCUGGCAAUUGCCAGGUAUGUCCCUAAACUUUGCAGGCUGCCAUGUAUAGAUCCUAAUAUUUUUGCCUGAUAUGCAUUGCCUUCCACAGCUAUGUUGUUCCUAGGAUUUGGUUUGGAUUCUGUUCCAGCUCAACUGGAAUGAAUGGGUUUAGUGAGAAUCUCUUAAAGCCACUUCAAUGAGAGUAACCCUUUAGAAGAUUGUAAGGAAUGUGCCACAGUCUCACCCUGGCAAGGCAAGAGGCUAAAUGCAGGAGGAAUUUUUACUGCUAACUAGAUUCCAACUAAGAGGCUCUGAGGCUUUAUAAGAUUUUUUUCCAGUGAGAGCCUCGUUUGGCCUCUGUAAAUGGAAGUUAGGCAAGAAAAUACAAUUUAUCUGUCUGCUCUGAAAUGUACUUAUUGAUUUCAGCAGUUGCACUGUAAUUGUUCUUACAAAUCAGCUAAUUGAGAUCCUCAAUGAAAGGUGACUUAAGGAGCAGUAAAUUUUGCAGCCCCCCUCCCCAAGGACAGCAGCUGCCCCAGUCUGGUGUUCCUUGUUAACCAAGUACAAAUCUUUAAAUGCA